GAGAAGAAGAGAGAAAGAGAGAGAGAAAGAAAAGAGAGAGAGAGAGAGAGUGAUUCCAAGGCCAGACUCCUCCCUUUGGCAGCCCAAACUGCCAACUCCUGGGAACAUUCCAUUUGGAACUCUGGUUCUUGAUCGACAGAUGAUCUUCAGCCCUGGUUCCUGCAUCUUGGCUUAUACAUUCUCUCUCCCCCCCAUGCCUAUACUACAAGGACAACAACCAGCCAACCUUUAUAGAACUCUCUAGAUUUGCAAUAAUCUUUUAUACUGGUCAGCAUUUUCUGUGAUUUACAAAUCUCUCUAGGUUUAGGUCCUGAACUGGGCUUUGGGCCAGGGGGCUCAGACCACCUGGUCACUGUUUUUCUUCUCUUCCAGGAGUUUCCUGGGGUUUUCUCAGAGGAACUGUACACUCACUGUUUCUAGACCCAGACCAUUAUAGGCUACUUAUGCUUUGUCUCUAGCUGAGGUAAACUUAUCAAACAAAGAACAGAAAAAGAUUAUAUUUGAAACUACAUCUCUGCUAUGUAUUGCUCAUUUUAAGUAUAUAAUAAAUUCAGCAUUAGUCCCAUAGCUGCCCUCUUUGGUCUCCCUCUGAACCAUCUGAUCUCUUCAGCACAUUUAAAAAAAGACUUCAUUGAUGCUUUUUUCUUUAUUAAAGAUCACUACGACUAUCUCUUUUUUCAUUUUUAUGAUAUAAUAAAGCUCUAUUACUUUGGUAGACCAAAAUAUGCAUAAGCCAUCCCCCAAUUAAUGGACAUCUACUUUGAUUCUAGUUCUUUGCCACAACAAGAAAUGCUGUUAUGUUGUUUUUUAAUUAACAAAAAUGUACUUAUUCUUUCUCCCCCAUGUCCCCCCUCCAUGAAGAAAGAAAGAAAGAAAGAAAGAAAGAAAGAAAGAAAGAAAGAAAGAAAGAAAGAAAGAAAGAAAGAAAGAAAGAAAGAAAGAAAGAAAGAAAGAAAGAAAGAAAGAAAGAAAGAAAGAAAGAAAGAAAGAAAGAAGAAAGAAAGAAAGAAAGAAGAAAGAAAGAAAGAAAGAAAGAAAGAAAGAAAGAAAGAAAGAAAGAAAGAAAGAAAAAAUAAAUGGAAAAUGGAACAGAUUUGGAAGCAUUUUAGCAGCCCUUCUUGUCAAUGA
This 1128-nucleotide long non-coding RNA is filed under the name Monodelphis domestica (gray short-tailed opossum). RNAcentral describes it as "lncRNA (ENSMODG00000040247.1)". Lineage: Eukaryota; Metazoa; Chordata; Mammalia; Didelphimorphia; Didelphidae. The record is from RNAcentral.